CUCUGAGAUACCCUGAAGCCCAUUCUUUCUUGAAAAAGGAUCUAUUCUUCCAGUCUUCUGUCUUAGGAGCCUACAAACAUGAAGCUCUUCCUUGUAACUUUCCUAAUGGCUUUCCUGGCUGUCCAGGCUAAAAGAGCUGAUGGCUCAUCUGAAGAGGGAUAUGUUGAAGAAUAUCUUCAGGGUGAUGUGUACCCUGAAUAUUCUGAAGAUGCUGGUUAUCCUGAGAAUCCUGGAUAUGGUCCAAAUCCUGGAAAUUCUGGAUAUCCUGGGAAUCCUGGAUAUGGUUCAAAUCCUGGAAAUCCCCCGUAUUAAGAAAUCCUCAAAAUGCACCCCAAGGAGAACCUCAAUAAACACAGGUAAAGGUUUGCCUGGAAGACUGAUUCAAUCCUUCUAUGGAUCUACAAGUCUACAAAUUCAUGACUCUCUCCAUCUGCCUACUUAGCAGUCUCCAUUAUUGAGCAUGAGAUGGUAGCUCCAAGCUUGUUAUAUUAACACCAAUCAUUCUCCCAAAGGACUAAUGCUCUCCUUUAUACUCUCUAUAUAAUAAACUCAGCUCACGGCGUA
Molecule: long non-coding RNA, 564 nt
Organism: Vombatus ursinus (common wombat)
Lineage: Eukaryota; Metazoa; Chordata; Mammalia; Diprotodontia; Vombatidae
Exons: 5
Source: RefSeq, a predicted model, not a curated record